RNAcentral lists this ribosomal RNA (406 nucleotides) under uncultured bacterium. RNAcentral's name for it is "partial 16S ribosomal RNA". It matches the Rfam family "Bacterial small subunit ribosomal RNA", at positions 28 to 526 of the family's 1533-position model. The record is from RNAcentral.
GACGAACGCUGGCGGCGUGCUUAACACAUGCAAGUCGAACGAGCCGCGGACGGGUGAGUAAUGUCUGGGAAACUGCCCGAGGGAGGGCGAUAACUACUGGAAACGGUAGCUAAUAACGCAUACCAUCAGAUGUGCCCAGAUGGGAUUUGCUAGUAGGUGGGGUAAUGGAUCACCUAGGCGACGAACCCUAGCUGGUCUGAGAGGAUGACCAGCCAAACUGGAACUGAGACACGGUCCAGACUCCUACGGGAGGCAGCAGUGGGGAAUAUUGCACAAUGGGGGAAAGCCUGAUGCAGCCAUGCCGCGUGUAUGAAGAAGGCCUUCGGGUUUUAAAGUACUUUCAGCGAGGAGGCGUUACUCGCAGAAGAAGCACCGGCUAACUCCGUGCCAGCAGCCGCGGUAAUUC